UUAUAUUAUUGUAUCACCAUGAGUACUGUUUUCAUCCCACGUCUGACCUUCUAUAAAGAUGUCUGUGUGCAGCUGGAAGCCAUUUUUUGCCAUUCACUCAACAGUGAAUGAUUGAAUUUUGAAUUUUUGCUAGACUGCUUUGUGAGACAAAAGCUUCUGCCAAUGUUGCUGUGGGAUUUGUAUGCAAUUUCAGAUUAAAUUGAUGUAGGGAAAAGUCAGCGAGUGAUGCAGAGUGAGAAAAAGAAAGGAGGGAAAGAGAAAGAUCUGUGUGAAUUAAUGAGCACAAAUAUGCUUCCAUGCCAUUAUUAUUCGUUGGUGAAAAAUGUGUAUUCUUACUCCCUGAUGGCCCGAGCAGCUGAGAGAAAGUAACUGACUCUGUUGUUAAGUUUCUGUGAUUGUUCUUUCAGAUUCAGCUGAGUUUCCUCUCAGAGGCUUUUGGCUGGCUGAACACAUUUGUUUAUCUUCGCGCCGUACAGAUGGAGGGUCUCUACUGACGAUGUCACGUCUGGGCUCACACACGCACGCACGCUCAGAAGGACAGUGGGCUGUCCGGUGUAGCAUCAUUAGCUCAGCGGAGACGUGGCGGCCCUGACACAUGUCGAGCGGCGUGCAGCCAACCCACGGACGAGCACGAGUCGCUCCUGCAUAAUUUGAAGUCAUCCAUGGCAGUGCUUUGAGAAUCCUUCCCCGCGUUCCCCAUGACUUGAACGGAGCAUCGCUCAGCGCCGUGAUGGCUCUAUUCAUACUCAGACAGAAGCCCUGCUGGCCUGAGGGUCACAUGAGGACCUCUCCAUGACCCCUGACCACAGUUUGAACCAAGACCCUACAGUUCAUCCAUAUCUGCGGCUGUAGAGAAGGUCACUGCAGAGUUCAAAGACAUAACACGCAGAAUGAGUUGAGUUUUCUCCUGCUCUCCACAGCUGCGCGGCCGUCUACGCAGCGGGCUUCUCUCUCUCUCUCCCUCAUGUGCGCUCAAAAGGUCAAGUAACGAGGGAGAAGAAGUGAAGGAGAAGUAACACGCAACAGCUGAGUGUGUGGGGAACGGGAGAUGAGUGACAGCAUGUUUGCCACUGCAUAAUGAGUGCUGCUCUUUCUGUACUCCGCAACUGCCUCCAUGCCCCCAGGUGCGCUCGGGCCCAGUGACGCUUCACCUUAACUCCAGUCAGACAGCACAUCAGAAGUUCUUCAGUGAGGUGUGGCCGUCCAGAGAUGCCACUUAGUGUUGGCAUCCCCCUGGGGAUGCCUGGAUGUCUUUUCCAAUCAUUUGUAGUGAGUAAAUGAGACGCAGAGCUGACAAUGUGUGAGUUUAUGUGCCCUGUUCUGACACGAGGGUAAAUCGCCAAUGUCUACUGCUGCUCGCUUAAAACGUUGGAUACAUUAUUUUUGUCUUGAUUAAAUUAUGUACGUCCUUGCUAAUCAGGUCUGUGAAACAUCACUGUCCACUACAAACUUGCGUUUUCCCUUUAAUAUCCCUUUGGCUAUUUUUUUUUUAAGUUUAAGAUUAUUAUCUUGUGCAUUUGUGGGCUGCCUUUAUUUUGCUAAUUUUAUUUUAUAGUAUAAUACGUAAAAUAAGCAUUUAGUUUGCACAUUAACCUUAUAAGGCCUACUUUAUCAUAUUUGAUACAGAAAUUUUGAAGGCCUUCAAAUUAACCAACAUCUUUGCUGAUAAAUCUGUUGUACAUAACUGACUACAUGCCUUCUGUCAUCUGAUUAAUAAUUUAUAUAUUUUUAGUAUAAGGUCUAUAAUUUUUUUCAAGCUAAAAAUGUCCCACUUCAUAUUAAUAUCACUCUACAUUUCAUAUCAUUUUUUUAUUUAUUUAUUUGUUUAUUUAUUUAUGCAUGCUGCACAAUCAUUUCUGA
Cyprinus carpio (common carp) is the source of this 1860-nucleotide long non-coding RNA. RefSeq lists it as uncharacterized. The transcript has 5 exons. The record is from RefSeq and is a predicted model, not a curated record. NCBI's taxonomy places the organism in Eukaryota, Metazoa, Chordata, Actinopteri, Cypriniformes, Cyprinidae.